CCCAGUGACUGAGAAUGAGACAGAAGAUGAGGGCGUUUGAGGAUGAGAAGGAAGAGGAAAGUCAUCAGAGCCACCUGGAAGUAGAGGUCUGGUCAGGUUGGCCUGCUUAACCAAGAUGGCAGCCAGGGGAGUAGGAAGGAUGAAGACAUUGCACACAUUUGGAGGAAGAAACCAAAGCUGGCAUGAGAGGAGUCCUUUCCAGGGCUGUUCAAGGCAACAGGAUGCAGACUCCUCCCAAUGGGUAAACAUUGGAAGACACCAGGAGGGAAGCCAAGCCUCUAGAGAUUGCUCAGGAACCCAAACCACCCCAAAUGGAGCCGGAAGGUCUGUCAAUUCCCAGAGAGGGAGGAAAUGGUAGACCAGGACCCUGCUGUACUUGACUGGACUCCAGGCUCAGAGUUCCAAUUUGCCCACGGCAGAACUUGGCUGCAGGCUUC
This 437-nucleotide long non-coding RNA is filed under the name Homo sapiens (human). RNAcentral describes it as "HSALNT0336254". The record is from RNAcentral. Lineage: Eukaryota; Metazoa; Chordata; Mammalia; Primates; Hominidae.